RNAcentral lists this unclassified non-coding RNA (232 nucleotides) under plant metagenome. RNAcentral describes it as "partial contains small subunit ribosomal RNA and internal transcribed spacer 1". The stretch from base 1 to 46 matches the Rfam family "Eukaryotic small subunit ribosomal RNA", at positions 1786 to 1831 of the family's 1831-position model. The record is from RNAcentral.
AAGUCAUAACAAGGUUACUGUAGGUGAACCUGCAGUAGGAUCAUUAUUGAAAAAAUAGGGGCUUUCCCCAUUCUUUGGGGGCCCGAACCUUCACAUAAUUUCCACACACUUGUGAAUCGUUGGAGCGUUUUUUUGAAGAAGAGAUGCUCUGGCAACCUUUAAUUAUUACAAACACCGAGUUAAUGGAUGUAGUUGUAAAACUUGUUCUUUUUGACAGAAACAAAAAAUACAA